CUACGGGGGGCAGCAGUGAGGAAUAUUGCACAAUGGGGGGAACCCUGAUGCAGCAACGCCGCGUGGAGGAUGACGCAUUUCGGUGUGUAAACUCCUUUUAUAUGUCAAGAAAAUGACGGUAGCAUAUGAAUAAGCACCGGCUAACUCCGUGCCAGCAGCCGACGGUAAUACGGAGGGUGCAAGCGUUACUCGGAAUCACUGGGCGUAAAGGACGCGUAGGCGGGUUGGAAAGUCAGGUGUGAAAUCCUACAGCUUAACUGUAGAACUGCACUUGAAACUUCGAAUCUAGAGUAUGGGAGGGGGAGAUGGAAUUAGUGGUGUAGGGGUAAAAUCCGUAGAUAUCACUAGGAAUACCUAAAGCGAAGGCGAUCUCCUGGAACAUUACUGACGCUAAGGCGUGAAAGCGUGGGGAGCAAACAGGAUUAGAUACCCGGGUAGUC
RNAcentral lists this ribosomal RNA (440 nucleotides) under uncultured bacterium. RNAcentral's name for it is "partial 16S ribosomal RNA". It matches the Rfam family "Bacterial small subunit ribosomal RNA", at positions 339 to 795 of the family's 1533-position model. The record is from RNAcentral.